Molecule: small RNA, 887 nt
Filed under: Arabidopsis thaliana (thale cress)
Lineage: Eukaryota; Viridiplantae; Streptophyta; Magnoliopsida; Brassicales; Brassicaceae
Description: ATSL194230
Source: RNAcentral
UGUUUUUCUAAAUAACAGGUCUAGGCCCAAUUAGUAACAGAUACAGUGUUUACCAUUACUGUAACUUUUUCAACGGUUGAUAUUCUCUUUUAAAAACGGUUGUAAAUCAUUUUAAAAACGGUUGUAAAUCUUUUCAUAAUAGCAGCUACUGCAGCUUUUUCAACACAUUUAAAACGCUUUUAAAACAGCUUAUAAAUCGUUUAAAACCCCUGUUUAAAAGCAUGUUUAAAGUUCUUUUCCAUUCAAAUCAAAGCACCUGUUAACCCAAACAACCAUUAUACAGUAAUUUUGUAAAACAGGAGUUGAACUAAAUAAACUUCAUAAAUCUUGUUCCAUACAGAUGUUCAUAAAAUAUUCAAAUGACAAAGUUUAUAAAUCUAUCUUGUACUCCACUACUUUUUGAUUAGAAGUCUGCUACUUCUACAAAGUAACUAACCCUAAUUCGGUGAAGAUGUCAGCAGCCAAUCCCUGUUUAAUUUGUUUUUAGAUUAUAGUGAAUUUUUGGGCUUUAGUGUUUUUUGGGCUUUUAGUGUUUUUUUAUUACCUCUUUGUCCAUGAUACAUAUUUAGAGUAUACACCAGAGAGAGAUUUCGCUCCCAGGCACGACUUCCGAGGAGGACAAAAGAAGAAUGUUCCUUUCUUUUAACCAGAACUCACCCACUUUUGGCCUCUAAAAGUAGUAACUUCCAACGGUUAAUAGACUGGUUCGGUAUGUUCCGGCAAGUUUCCUGGUUCUCCGGUGGUUUUCCCCUGCUCAGAAGCUUUACACCUCUCGCUGCUGGACAUACUCACUCACGUCUCCCUUAAUGAAGACCCCUCCCAGGUAGCCUUCUGCUCUCCCCCAUCUUGCUUCCAACUGAAAACCCUGAAGAAAACUUUGUAACCCU